Long non-coding RNA from Canis lupus familiaris (dog), 463 nucleotides. RefSeq lists it as uncharacterized. The transcript has 2 exons. NCBI's taxonomy places the organism in Eukaryota, Metazoa, Chordata, Mammalia, Carnivora, Canidae. The record is from RefSeq and is a predicted model, not a curated record.
GAACCGGACGCGCGCCCCGCCCCCAUCAGCCGGGCCCGGGGGCUCCGCGGGCUUUCGGGGCCUGGCGGGGGCCGCGUCUGCGCCGUGGCCCUGUCACUGUCGCCAAGGUCCCUGUCCCCAGCGGGACCCCCCCCCCGGGAGGCCGGGGGCGACAGAGGCCCCGUAUUCGCGGGCAGGGGUCCCAGGGCCCCCCUCUGCGGGGAGGAGGUUCUGUACGGAGGAUACGCGGAGUUAGUGAAAUCGCACACAGUGAGAGAGAAGGAGAGAGGCAGAGACACAGGCAGAGGGAGAAGCAGGCUCCAUACUCCGGGAGCCCGACGUGGGACUCGAUCCCGGAUAUCCAGGACCGCGCCCUGGGCCAAAGGCAGGCGCCAAACCGCUGCGCCACCCAGGGAUCCCUGAAUCCCUGACUUUGUUUACAACUGCAGCUCGUGGUGCAAAGUAAAAGCAAGUGAAUUCUUAA